UGGUACUUGUACCGACUGGAUGAGCAGCGAACGGGUGAGUAACGCGUGGGGAAUCUGCCUUUGAGCGGGGGACAACAUUUGGAAACGAAUGCUAAUACCGCAUAAAAACUUUAAACACAAGUUUUAAGUUUGAAAGAUGCAAUUGCAUCACUCAAAGAUGAUCCCGCGUUGUAUUAGCUAGUUGGUGAGGUAAAGGCUCACCAAGGCGAUGAUACAUAGCCGACCUGAGAGGGUGAUCGGCCACAUUGGGACUGAGACACGGCCCAAACUCCUACGGGAGGCAGCAGUAGGGAAUCUUCGGCAAUGGACGAAAGUCUGACCGAGCAACGCCGCGUGAGUGAAGAAGGUUUUCGGAUCGUAAAACUCUGUUGGUAGAGAAGAACGUUGGUGAGAGUGGAAAGCUCAUCAAGUGACGGUAACUACCCAGAAAGGGACGGCUAACUACGUGCCAGCAGCCGCGGUAAUACGUAGGUCCCGAGCGUUGUCCGGAUUUAUUGGGCGUAAAGCGAGCGCAGGUGGUUUAUUAAGUCUGGUGUAAAAGGCAGUGGCUCAACCAUUGUAUGCAUUGGAAACUGGUAGACUUGAGUGCAGGAGAGGAGAGUG
Molecule: ribosomal RNA, 603 nt
Filed under: Lactococcus lactis
Lineage: Bacteria; Bacillati; Bacillota; Bacilli; Lactobacillales; Streptococcaceae
Description: bacterial SSU rRNA
Rfam family: Bacterial small subunit ribosomal RNA
Source: RNAcentral